This 473-nucleotide ribosomal RNA is filed under the name uncultured bacterium. Its description in RNAcentral is "bacterial SSU rRNA". It matches the Rfam family "Bacterial small subunit ribosomal RNA", at positions 335 to 803 of the family's 1533-position model. The record is from RNAcentral.
ACUCCUACGGGAGGCAGCAGUAGGGAAUCUUCCGCAAUGGGCGAAAGCCUGACGGAGCAACGCCGCGUGAGUGAAGAAGGUCUUCGGAUCGUAAAACUCUGUUAUUAGGGAAGAACAAAUGUGUAAGUAACUAUGCACGUCUUGACGGUACCUAAUCAGAAAGCCACGGCUAACUACGUGCCAGCAGCCGCGGUAAUACGUAGGUGGCAAGCGUUAUCCGGAAUUAUUGGGCGUAAAGCGCGCGUAGGCGGUUUUUUAAGUCUGAUGUGAAAGCCCACGGCUCAACCGUGGAGGGUCAUUGGAAACUGGAAAACUUGAGUGCAGAAGAGGAAAGUGGAAUUCCAUGUGUAGCGGUGAAAUGCGCAGAGAUAUGGAGGAACACCAGUGGCGAAGGCGACUUUCUGGUCUGUAACUGACGCUGAUGUGCGAAAGCGUGGGAUCAAACAGGAUUAGAUACCCUGGUAGACUGUCAU